Molecule: ribosomal RNA, 405 nt
Filed under: uncultured bacterium
Lineage: Bacteria
Description: partial 16S ribosomal RNA
Rfam family: Bacterial small subunit ribosomal RNA
Source: RNAcentral
AUUGAACGCUGGCGGCAGGCUUAACACAUGCAAGUCGAACGAGUGGCGGACGGGUGAGUAAUGCUUGGGAAACUAGCUUAUGGAGGGGGAUAACUACGGGAAACUGUAGCUAAUACCGCGUACCAUAGGAUGAGCCCACGUGGGAUUAGCUGGUUGGUGAGUGAACGGCUCACCAAGCCGACGAUCCCUAGCUGGUCUGAGAGGAUGACCAGCCACACUGGGACUGAGAAACGGCCCAGACUCCUACGGGAGGCAGCAGUGGGGAAUAUUGCGCAAUGGGGGCAACCUGACGCAGCCAUGCCGCGUGAAUGAAGAAGGCCUUCGGGUUGUAAAGUACUUUCGGUAGGGAGGCGUUAACUACAGAAGAAGCACCGGCUAACUCCGUGCCAGCAGCCGCGGUAAUAC